CAAGGCGACGAUGCGUAGCCGACCUGAGAGGGUGAUCGGCCACACUGGGACUGAGACACGGCCCAGACUCCUACGGAGGCAGCAGUAGGGAAUCUUCCGCAAUGGACGAAAGUCUGACGGAGCAACGCCGCGUGAGUGAUGAAGGUUUUCGGAUCGUAAAGCUCUGUUGUUAGGGAAGAACAAGUGCGAGAGUAACUGCUCGCACCUUGACGGUACCUAACCAGGAAGGCCAGGCUAACUACGUGCCAGCAGCCGGGGAAACGUAGGGGGCAGCGUUUUCCGAAUUAUUGGGGGAAAGGCUCGAGGGGGUUCCUUAGUCUAUGGAAACCCCCGCUCACCGGGGAGGCCUUGGAAGGGAGGGUCAUUGGAAACAGGGAAACUUGAGUGCAGAAGAGGAGAGUGGAAUUCCACGUGUAGCGGUGAAAUGCGUAGAGAUGUGGAGGAAUACCAGUGGCGAAGGCGACUCUCUGGUCUGUAACUGACGCUGAGGAGCGAAAGCGUGGGGAGCGAACAGGAUUAGAUACCCUGGUAGUCCACGCCGUAAACGAUGAGUGCUAAGUGUUAGGGGGUUUCCGCCCCUUAGUGCUGCAGCUAACGCAUUAAGCACUCCGCCUGGGGAGUACGGUCGCAAGACUGAAACUCAAAGGAAUUGACGGGGGCCCGCACAAGCGGUGGAGCAUGUGGUUUAAUUCGAAGCAACGCGAAGAACCUUACCAGGUCUUGACAUCCUCUGACAACCCUAGAGAUAGGGCUUUCCCUUCGGGGACAGAGUGACAGGUGGUGCAUGGUUGUCGUCAGCUCGUGUCGUGAGAUGUUGGGUUAAGUCCCGCAACGAGCGCAACCCUUGAUCUUAGUUGCCAGCAUUCAGUUGGGCACUCUAAGGUGACUGCCGGUGACAAACCGGAGGAAGGUGGGGAUGACGUCAAAUCAUCAUGCCCCUUAUGACCUGGGCUACACACGUGCUACAAUGGACAGAACAAAGGGCAGCAAGACCGCAAGGUUUAGCCAAUCCCAUAAAUCUGUUCUCAGUUCGGAUCGCAGUCUGCAACUCGACUGCGUGAAGCUGGAAUCGCUAGUAAUCGCGGAUCAGCAUGCCGCGGUGAAUACGUUCCCGGGCCUUGUACACACCGCCCGUCACACCACGAGAGUUUGCAACACCCGAAGUCGGUGAGGUAACCUUUAUGAGCCAGCCGCCGAAGGUGACAAGAGU
Molecule: ribosomal RNA, 1210 nt
Filed under: Bacillus safensis
Lineage: Bacteria; Bacillati; Bacillota; Bacilli; Caryophanales; Bacillaceae
Description: bacterial SSU rRNA
Rfam family: Bacterial small subunit ribosomal RNA
Source: RNAcentral